GCCAAUUUCAUCAGGUAGUACAUUACAUAACCGAACAGCUGAUGGCUAUAUAUAAUUGCACAAAUGGGGGCAGAGUACAUCCCUUCGGAGCCAGCUGAUGGUUUACUCUAUUCUUUUCUCUACUCACAUGCACUGUUUACGUCCCGCACAUACAAUGAUGCCGUUGCCAAACAGAGGCUGCCUGGAAUUCUGCAAACUAGAAAGUUGGAGCGCCACUGCUCGCACCGGGAGAUAAGACUUUGACUUACACUCAUUGUGGGUACCCGAUGUACUUGGUCCACUACACAUUAUCACGUUGUGAAACAAAAUGGUAUCGGGAGAAGCGAUAAGCAUGAGCACGACGUGCUCUCUGAGUCGCUCUUUACAUUGGUAAAAACUUCACAAAUUAUACAACGUUGUCGGCAAGGCAAGGUACAUGGUUCUUUGACUAACUGAACAAAAUUCAGCAAGGCAAACAACAUUUCCUAAUCAAGCCAAUCCAAUAGGAUCUUCACCUGCACACCCAUCAAACGUACCAUCCCACUUGUCGAUCAAAGGAGUACAAAACCAAAAUAUAUAAUCAAAAAAAGCAAGAGAAAACAACAGGGCCUUCAGCUGCACACCCAUCAUUGGCUAGAUGUCACCACGAAUAAAAAAGGUGCUUUGAUAAAUUCACCACAUUUCUGGCCUGUGAAGUUCUUUGGUACAUCAUGUUCUUUUAUUUCUCAUGCAUAUAGCCUGCAAAUAUAAUCUCAGCUUGUUGGUGAGAGAUAUGUAGGAAGGAAGUUGUUCUGAAACGUUCCCCUAAAAAAAACUUGUUCUGAAGCCAAAUAAAUCAGAAGAAAUAUCAAAGUAACUACACAAACAGAAAAGCAUGAACUGCUCCUACUGAAAGGCCACGGAGGCAUUCAAUACCAAAACCUUUCAACCUCUCUUCCCCUUCUUACUCUUAAAUUCACUGAAUCAAAGAAAUCUCUCUCUUCCCUCAUGAAACAGAAAUAAAAAAUUGCAAGGAUCUGCAAGACCAAGACCUAGAAGAAUAUAACACGGGAAGGAAAAGCUCACCACUUCUUUUAUGAGGUAGACAGCGUUGGAAGAAUUAGCUGAUCUUACUCAACAAACUAUGUCCCCGCACAUAUAUGAGCAUCAGUUUCUUUUAUCAAUACCAACAGCCAGCGGCACACCCACAAUGUUAAUUUUGUUUAGUAUAAGCGCACCCAUGAAAACUGUUGAAAUCAGUAAGGAAGAAAGGAAAGAAAUAUCCACAGAGGAGGAAGGGGAAGGGAGUCUGUCCAGCACCACGUCGUCCUUUCGCCGGCGCUGCCGCAUAAGGAAGAGGAAUAACAGCCACACCCCCAGCACGGCAUCUGGCCGGAGCACAUCAAGAGGACCGACAGGAGACGAAACAUCUGCAGCCCGCCUGCCUGACAUGGAGACCUGCACCACGCAACCCGUAGAAAUGAACCACUGGUCGAAACCACCGGCCAUCUCGGCAUCAGAUAGGCAGAAAGAUAGGGGGAAGACCCACUAGCACCAGCAGGCCACUCGGGAGGCCGCUGCCCAAGUCAGCUACCAACCCCGCGCACACCAGUGCAGCAUGCCACAGCCCCUAGCACAGUCGUGCCGGCGCCCCAUGCUCUCCACCACGGCAACCGCCCCGCCGGCGCGAGAUCCAGCAGACCACGCGGGGGACCUCCGCCCCAUCCAGUGGCCAACAGCGCUCACACCAGCGUUGUGCACCACGGCCUCGAGCACGGCCGUGCGCCGCAUGGCACCAUGCCGGAGCAACAUGCGUCGCCGCCACCACCUCCACACGCGCUAGCCGGAGAAGCAACCCCGCCGCUUCCCGCCAGGUAGAAAGACGCCCCGCCGUCUCCAUCCCCGGAGACAGACAAGCUUCGUCGGCCGACGCCUCCGGCGGCGGUGGGUCAGGGGAGGGAAGGGGAGGAGAAAGUGGCGCUGCUAGGUCUUCACCCCUCAAGUGGUGGACGACGCGGGGGCCCAGGGGAGAAGGGUGAGAUGUGUGGACGGCUGGGCUGCAUGCACGGGUG
Molecule: ribosomal RNA, 2030 nt
Filed under: Triticum aestivum (bread wheat)
Lineage: Eukaryota; Viridiplantae; Streptophyta; Magnoliopsida; Poales; Poaceae
Description: partial small subunit ribosomal RNA
Source: RNAcentral